AGAAGAAGAAAAGAAGUAGAAGUGCGGAUUGUGUCGGUUUUCUCUGAUGGAUAUUUGUCGAGUUUGAUUCCAGUUUCCUGCGGCCAGAAACGGCUUAUUUGGUUUAGUUUAAUUUAGUCGAGCUGCUCAUUAGAGAAAGAAGUUUAGUUGGUCAGCUCUGCGGGUUUUGUUCAGAAGGGAAGUGAGCGCUUUAGCACAGAGCUGUUAUGCUGCGUUCAUGUGCUAUGGGAAUUAUGGUAAAUACCAAACGCCUACAUGGAAAGCACACAUGAACGCCCCCUCUUGUGGUAUUUUCCACUGGGCAACUCGUAGAAAAUUUUGAUACACGAGUUGCCGAGAUGAGAUGAACUUUAACCUUUUCAACAUGGCGGCGAGCGGUACAAGACACUUGAAUGAGCAGACACUAUUGCUAACGAUAGCAGCUGGUCCACCAUCUUUAAAAUUUGUCAACAACAACAAAAGCAUGUGAACACAACGCACUGGUAAAUACCACUUCCCAACUGGAAAAUAUCAUCUUCCCAUAGCACAUGAAGGCAGCAUAUGUAAAGCUGCUGCUACAGAGAUGAAAGUGCGGCGCUGAAUCACAGUGUGCACUCAGACCCUCAGAAAUCCGCCAUGGCGUGCGGGCGGACUGCAGCUUUUCUGUGGCUCGAAAUCCACAACUUAAAUGCUGACUCAUUCCGGAAGUGGUGUAAAAGCUCAACUUUACCAAAGCCAGUGCUGUGAUGAAGUGAAAGCAGCAGCAGUUCAGUGGUGUGGCUGGACAACUGCUCAGAAGGUGACUACUGACUGUGGUGUCUCGUUUGUCUUGUCUGCUUUUUGGCCAAAGAUUGUGGGAACCACAUCUGGAUUCAGCGCUGGCUUGUACGGUAUUCCUAAUGCCAGUGCAUCUGAGUUGUUUGCGUGAAAGUUUUCUUCAAAAUGUUCCGAGCACACGAGCUGCGAAUGUACUGUUUUUGCACCCGAAGGACCAUUCCAGUCAGCCCGUGAGAGGUCUGUCCCUGUUCGGCAAAUGGCAUUUAUCCAUUACCUCCUUACGUUUUUGUCCUUUGGAAAUUGAUGCAGGUUAGUUUUUUCACUUCUGUCAUUGUUGCAUCCUCCUGUAACGUUCACAUGAAUCCUGGAAAGUAAAGCGGUGUUUGUUUACCCUCUUUCUGCAUUGCUGCGGGGGUUGGACUGUCUACUACGGUAAUUACGGUAGGCUAGCCUGGUGACGUCUUGAAGUUUUUUAUGAAUGAGUCGAGAGCAUGCUAAGCGUGCUAACAAGUGCUUAUGCUGCCAGGAACGUAGAAAAACUUGCGCACUUGCCUCUGUAACAUAUUUGGGUAAGUUAGAUUGUAUGCAGAUCUGUUUGUAGGUUGUCUAGCAAGGUUACAGUCUGCAGAAUUAGACCGUCAUGGCAGCACCACUUGUACCGGGGGUAUAAGUAUAAAAAGUUGCCUCCCCCCAUUCAGUCAUGUAGGAGUACAUCAGCUGUUCACUCUUCCCUCGCUGUUUAUCAGUGACAUCAGUAUCUUUCCCCCCUCAACUUUUGUGUGAGAGAAAUGGAAUUUCAAUUUUUUUUUUUCAUAUAAACUUUUAAUGAAAUAAUCUCCAGCCAGGGGCAGCUUCAAGUCUUAUUCGCUAUGCGGCGCUUCCGUGUCUUGAACCCAAAUGACAUCGGCGCAUUGCCGGAAACAAUCGGGGGGGAUUUUUCUGAUUGGUUAAAAUAUUUUCAAUGGUGGCAUCCAUGAAAUUGUCCAUGGUGGGGGAAUUCUGCAUAGAAACUGACUUUCGGAGAUGGAUAUCUUAGUUGUGUGAGCUCCUUAUUUUCAAUUAUUCGCAUGAAUCGUUAGACUAUGAUACAAAUUAUCUUCAUAACUGUAUUUUAACCAUGGGCUUUCUUUUCUUUUAAUUCUGGUGGUUUUGAAAAUAACCCACAGCUGAUCGUCUUUGUGUUUUUUGUGCAGCUUUAUUGUCCAGACUCUGUGCUGCAGCAGUACGUGACUGUGGAUUAUCCAGCUGUGCAAGCGUGCCAUCCACUUCACCAUUGUUGCUCCAGCAGCUAACGUCGUCUUAAAGCUGUUUAGAUCCCUUGUUGCUAUGUUUUUGGUGCUACGUUCCUGUUUUCUGGUUACAAUGCCUGACUGUUCAGACGGAUAGUGAUAUGGUCAGCUCUGGGAUGGAUUUGAGGGGGGGUUUUUUGUUUUGUUUUUUUUCUGUGUAGCAUGAAAAGUUUAUGUAUUAAUCCUCACCCCACUGAACUGCUCAUCUCUGGAGUCACCAUAACAAAAUGAGCAGCUGUUUGCAUAAGCCUGUGUUUAAAAUCUCUCAAUUCCCAUUACCUGAUGUAAAGAAUUAGGUUUGUCAGAAGCAGCAGCUUGCAUUAUGGCUUACAUGGUAAGUUUUUGGUUUAAAUAUAGUGGCAGAAAAAUGCUGAAUUUUUUCCCCCCUUUCUUUCUCCUCCCCCCUUCAUUUGAUAUUAAGGCUAGUUUGAAAGUGAUUGUAAUUCUGCAUUAUUUGUAAUGGAUUACUACUGAAUAAAAUAUUUCA
Neoarius graeffei (lesser salmon catfish) is the source of this 2532-nucleotide long non-coding RNA. RefSeq lists it as uncharacterized. The record is from RefSeq and is a predicted model, not a curated record. The transcript is spliced from 5 exons. NCBI's taxonomy places the organism in Eukaryota, Metazoa, Chordata, Actinopteri, Siluriformes, Ariidae.